Molecule: long non-coding RNA, 385 nt
Organism: Quercus robur (English oak)
Lineage: Eukaryota; Viridiplantae; Streptophyta; Magnoliopsida; Fagales; Fagaceae
Exons: 2
Source: RefSeq, a predicted model, not a curated record
AAUCAAAUGUGGAUAUAAAACCAGAGGAUGUGAUUAGAUUCUUCAUGAUGAAGGAAUCUAUAGGUAGGCAAUUUUUGGAUGAUUUGAUAGUUCCUACCAACAAAAUAACUAGGAAGAAUUCUAAGUAGAAGGCAAUAUCAUUUCAAGGAGACAAGAUGGGUGGAAUGAUGAAAUAAUUGUUAACUAUUGAGAUGAUAAAUAUUUGUAUGUCUCAGAUUUUGUGUAAUUAUUGUGGAACCCCCUUCCUCACCCUCUUUUGGGGUUUGUUUUGAGUUGUGGCAGAAUUGGGUUUGAUUAGGAAUUAUAUAUGUUGUUAAGUAUUGGAGUGAUGCAUUUAUUAUUAAGUAUUUGGAUAAUAAGGAUUUGUAUGUCUCAGAUUUUGCAA